RNAcentral lists this ribosomal RNA (467 nucleotides) under uncultured bacterium. Its description in RNAcentral is "partial 16S ribosomal RNA". It matches the Rfam family "Bacterial small subunit ribosomal RNA", at positions 28 to 507 of the family's 1533-position model. The record is from RNAcentral.
GAUGAACGCUGGCGGCGUGCUUAACACAUGCAAGUCGAACGGUGAAGCAGAGCUUGCUCUGUGGGUCAGUGGCGAACGGGUGAGUAACACGUGAGCAACCUGCCCCUGACUCUGGGAUAAGCGCUGGAAACGGCGUCUAAUACUGGAUAUGAGCUGCGACCGUAUGGUCAGCAGUUGGAAAGAUUUUUCGGUCUGGGAUGGGGUCACGGCCUAUCAGCUUGUUGGUGAGGUAAUGGCUCACCAAGGUGUCGACGGGUAGCCGGCCUGAGAGGGUGACCGGCCACACUGGGACUGAGACACGGCCCAGACUCCUACGGGAGGCAGCAGUGGGGAAUAUUGCACAAUGGGCGAAAGCCUGAUGCAGCAACGCCGCGUGAGGGAUGACGGCCUUCGGGUUGUAAACCUCUUUUAGCAGGGAAGAAGCGAAAGUGACGGUACCUGCAGAAAAAGCGCCGGCUAACUACGUG